CUUGACAACAUAAGAGGUCCAGCCUGCCCAGUGACUCAAUUCAACGGCCGCGGUAUCCUAACCGUGCAAAGGUAGCGUAAUCACUUGUCUUCUAAAUAAAGACUAGUAUGAAAGGCACCACGAGAACUAAACUGUCUCCUUUUUCUAAUCAGUGAACCUAAUCUCCCUGUGAAAAAGCAGGGAUUUAACAAUAAGACGAGAAGACCCUAUGGAGCUUUAAACACAUAACACUGCCCUUUUACACCACAAUGUUCCAUGCACAAUGAUUAAAAGUUUUUAGUUGGGGUGACUACGGAGUAAACCCACCCUCCGCGAUGAAUCUUAAACAAGCGACAGCUUUAUACAUCAGCAAACUGACACCAUUGACCCAAUUUAUUGAUCAACGAAC
This 388-nucleotide ribosomal RNA is filed under the name Pristimantis zeuctotylus group sp. ABGD cluster 319. RNAcentral's name for it is "partial large subunit ribosomal RNA". It matches the Rfam family "Bacterial large subunit ribosomal RNA", at positions 1834 to 2457 of the family's 2925-position model. Lineage: Eukaryota; Metazoa; Chordata; Amphibia; Anura; Strabomantidae. The record is from RNAcentral.